UACAGAGGGUGCAAGCGUUGUUCGGAAUUAUUGGGCGUAAAGGGCGCGUAGGCGGUGCGGUAAGUCUGUAGUGAAAUCUCUGGGCUCAACUCAGAGUCUGCUGCAGAAACUGCCGUGCUUGAGUGUGGGAGAGGUGAGUGGAAUUCCCGGUGUAGCGGUGAAAUGCGUAGAUAUCGGAAGGAACACCUGUGGCGAAAGCGGCUCACUGGACCAUUACUGACGCUGAUGCACGAAAGCUAGGGGAGCAAACAGG
Molecule: ribosomal RNA, 253 nt
Filed under: uncultured bacterium
Lineage: Bacteria
Description: partial 16S ribosomal RNA
Rfam family: Bacterial small subunit ribosomal RNA
Source: RNAcentral